Triticum urartu is the source of this 124-nucleotide non-coding RNA. Lineage: Eukaryota; Viridiplantae; Streptophyta; Magnoliopsida; Poales; Poaceae. The record is from Rfam.
AUUAUACUCCCUCCAUCCGGAAAUACUUGUUUUAAAAAUGGAUAAAAUGAAUGUAACUAUAACUAAAACAAGUCUAGAUAAAACCAUUUCUACGACAAGUAUUUUCGGACGGAGGGAGUAAUAC